GCUGACGGUUUCACAACUGCCGCCCGGCUACGCGGGAGGCCCGGUGCUGCCCACUGCGCGUGCUCCAGGGGUCGGCCUCGCUGCGGACGCGCGCAGGGAGGUGUGACCUGCCGAGCUGGGUGAAGCAGAUGCCCGGGACGCCCUUCCUCCCUAUCACUCGCCACUGGGGUAGCUGUGAAUUAGGCCCCUUCUUUCUCCCAUCACAGUGAUGAUGCUGAUGACGUUUGCGCACAGCUGGACGGCCUUUUGCAAGCUCAGCACAAACAGCAGAUCAACUUGGCCUUGGAUCUCUGGGAAGAAAAGCUUAUCUUCAAAGAAGUGCUGGUACUGGCGUCAGAAAGGGAGACAUUCAUCCCUGUCUUUAAAGAGCGCGUUCUCUGCUUUGGGAAGAUGUUUGAAGCUGAUGUACAGUGCAUGUUUGGUGGGCCAUAAGUCAGGAUGCUCUGGGAAAAACAAGUUUUAGGCCGAAUCAAGGUUAAACCAGAAUGGCUUCCCCAUAUACCUCAAUAUGUGAAAACUUAUUAUUUUCAUCACCACCAUCAUCCAUUUUAAAAAUACUUAAGAUUUGUACCAAUGAGAAUUUUACAUUGAUCCUUUCUUUUUCUCCUUGAAAACAUAUUUUCAUUACACUUCCACCACAGAAUUUUAUCCUAAUGCAAUAUGUUUUAUGCUUCCAAGUCUUUUAUUGAUCAGACUGUGUCAUCAUGCUUCUAAGAGUUAAAAUUUCUUCUAGGUUGAGCAGCUGUUGUUAGCAAUAUACAGUUUAAUCAAUGCAUAUCAUGACAUCUGAUAAUUGUAAAGAAAAGUAAAGUUUUAUUGGAAAUGCCUGUCUUAAUG
This 837-nucleotide long non-coding RNA is filed under the name Equus caballus (horse). RNAcentral describes it as "lncRNA (ENSECAG00000050035.1)". Lineage: Eukaryota; Metazoa; Chordata; Mammalia; Perissodactyla; Equidae. The record is from RNAcentral.